UAUAAAGAUGAGUUCCGAGUCAGUACCUCCCAUGAGGAUAUACUGGCCGAAAGGGUAUGAAGAGUAAUUUUCAUGCCUGCCUUGUGCAAAGGAAGUCUGUAUUCAGACUU
Molecule: non-coding RNA, 110 nt
Filed under: Sporomusa malonica
Lineage: Bacteria; Bacillati; Bacillota; Negativicutes; Selenomonadales; Sporomusaceae
Description: MoCo sequence
Rfam family: Molybdenum/Tungsten riboswitch aptamer (Moco RNA motif)
Source: Rfam by way of RNAcentral